Molecule: long non-coding RNA, 994 nt
Organism: Cydia splendana
Lineage: Eukaryota; Metazoa; Arthropoda; Insecta; Lepidoptera; Tortricidae
Exons: 2
Source: RefSeq, a predicted model, not a curated record
AUAAGAGCGUGUCACAUAUUUUUGCAGCCUUCAAAGAGUAACAUACUAUUGCAGGUGACUGUACAUUAUCAAUAUAUUGUAAGUAAAAGCAAUAUUUCCAUGUAUAAUACAAAUAGAACAAAAGACAUAUGUUUUGUAUUUAUUAUUUUUCAUCACAAUUGCUCGAAAAAGAUCUUAUUUCAUGCAGGUGUACUAAAGGAUAAAAGCCUAUAUUAUUCCCUAUUAGGAGUUAUGGAUUGUGAAAAAAAGCUAUAACUCCCUAGCUUUUUCGCGAUUUCGGGAUUGGUCCCAUAGUAAAAGUUGCUCAGUAUAAUCCCAAAACCUCCCUGGCAACGGGAAUGCACUUAUUUUUUGGCCACCGUGUAUAUGGAAAUACACCGUAGGUACUUGAAAGCACACAAGCACAUACCACAAGUACUAAGUAAUUCAUGGGACUGUGAAAACCGUACGAGUAAAACGAGUUUUUUGGAAACUCCAAUGUUAUAGUAAUUUUGUGUUAUCUUGGGGUUUUCAGAAAAAAUGGUACUUACCAUAAUUUACUUUUUUCGAAAAAUCAUCAACAUUUGGGUAAUUUAGACAGAAUCACGAGCACUAUUGAAUGAGACAAAGAAAGUGUCCCCAGUUUUUCAUACAAAUUUUGGAUGUCUAGUUUUGUAACGGUCCAUACAAAAUGUAAGUAGUAUGUGAAAACAUGUUACAAAAAAGUAACAUUUUUGUUUGGGACAUAUUUCUUUUUAUUUUUACCGACUUCCAAAUCUCAAAGAAGGAGGUUAUCAAUUCGGUUGUAUGUUUUUUUUUUAAUCGAUAGUCCUCGUGAUUCUGAGUAGAACUAACCCAAAAGUUGAUGUUACUUUUAAGUGAAAAUGCCCAUCUAUUAUGUAAGUGCACGAUGGAACUGUGAUCCUACGAGCGACAUAGGCAAUAAGAGUAAGCAAUAUAUUUACCUGCCAUGUCACAGAUGCUUCUAAAUUAAUAAAUUAUCUACUAUAUUUAA